This 484-nucleotide ribosomal RNA is filed under the name uncultured bacterium. RNAcentral's name for it is "partial 16S ribosomal RNA". It matches the Rfam family "Bacterial small subunit ribosomal RNA", at positions 30 to 507 of the family's 1533-position model. The record is from RNAcentral.
AUUGAACGCUGGCGGCAGGCCUAACACAUGCAAGUCGAGCGGAUGAAGGGAGCUUGCUCCUGGAUUCAGCGGCGGACGGGUGAGUAAUGCCUAGGAAUCUGCCUGGUAGUGGGGGAUAACGUCCGGAAACGGGCGCUAAUACCGCAUACUUCCUGAGGGAGAAAGUGGGGGAUCUUCGGACCUCACGCUCUCAGAUGAGCCUAGGCCGGAUUAGCUAGUUGGUGGGGUAAAGGCCUACCAAGCCGACGAUCCGUAACUGGCCUGAGAGGAUGAUCAGUCACACUGGAACUGAGACACGGUCCAGACUCCUACGGGAGGCAGCAGUGGGGAAUAUUGGACAAUGGGCGAAAGCCUGAUCCAGCCAUGCCGCGUGUGUGAAGAAGGUCUUCGGAUUGUAAAGCACUUUAAGUUGGGAGGAAGGGCAGUAAGUUAAUACCUUGCUGUUUUGACGUUACCAACAGAAUAAGCACCGGCUAACUUCGUG